Molecule: unclassified non-coding RNA, 253 nt
Filed under: plant metagenome
Description: partial contains small subunit ribosomal RNA, internal transcribed spacer 1, and 5.8S ribosomal RNA
Source: RNAcentral
UUUCCGUAGGUGAACCUGCGGAAGGAUCAUUAACAAGUUAGGGUCUUCCAGGCCCGACCUCCCAACCCUAUGUUUAUUGAACCUCUGUUGCUUCGGCGGACCCGCCUCACGGCCGCCGGAGGACCGCUGCAAGGCGUCCUCUGGCCAGCGUCCGCCGAUGGCCAACCACUUAAACUCUGAAUGAAUCGUGUCAUAUGUCUAAGUCUAUGAUUAAAUUAAAGCAAAACUUUCAACAACGGAUCUCUUGGUUCUG